CGAAGUCGUUGUAACUCGGUAUGAGAUUCAAAAAGUUCCCGCUCGGGCGCUGCAAACGUUACCAAUGCGACGGCGAGGAAAGGAACUAUAUUACUUUAAGACUCCAUCUACAAAUCGGUCCAGCGACCGCAGUAAAUAAAAGAUUGUCGAGAAGCGUGCCAACCGCGGUAUUCCUGGUAACGUGUUCCGACGACACUCCCGAUAUUUUUAAACUGGGCCCCGUUAGCGAACAAAAUUGUACGAGGCCGGGAUUUAAAGGAACGUUGGAUAAACCAUUUUCUAGCAGUAUACAAAAAAAUGGCUCUGACCUAUCCUCACUCGUCACUUCUACAUUGCCAUAUGCUCUUCUAAUUAUGUCUAUCCAUCGAAUAUCUACGUUUAUCAAAAGAAAUGGUUUUCCGUGAGGUCAACCGAAUUUUGCAAAGGGGGGCAAUGGGGUAAAAAUGUUUUAAAAAAGUGACCCCAUUCUUGGUGAAGCAGCUCGAGGCCGUGGGGAAUGAAAGGUACGCCUCGAUUUUGUUUCUUAUCCGCGCUUCAAGAAGAGCGCGAAGAUCAAACCUGAAUGACAAUCAUGAACAUCAUGUCCUGAAACGAAUUGGUAACAAGAGCAGGAUGUGUUAUUCAUAAUAGCGGCCAAAUGAGUUAAAUAUAUUUAUAAAAUAUAAUAUAUAAAUAAAUCAAUCAAAAUUAAUUUAA
This is a long non-coding RNA of Cephus cinctus (wheat stem sawfly), 696 nucleotides long. RefSeq lists it as uncharacterized. Lineage: Eukaryota; Metazoa; Arthropoda; Insecta; Hymenoptera; Cephidae. The record is from RefSeq and is a predicted model, not a curated record. The transcript has 2 exons.